AUCUACUAGUGAUGGAGCUGAGCAUGUUGAAGUAUGCACUGGGGAAGCAAACGAUUCGCCAUUUGAAGAAGAACUACAUGCAGUUGGUGAAGCUAUUUGUGAAUCCCAGUCUCAAUGGAACAGCAAAGACAGCAGUUACAAGACCUAACAGAUGAUGCGGAUCAAAUAUUAAAUAGCAUUGGGAAUAAAAGUACUCGCAAAUGUACUAAAUGCAAAGCUCCAAUGAAAGGACAUCCUCGAGGUCAAUGCUCCACUGAAAAAGAAUAAAUUGAAGUUGGUAGAUGAUAGGGUAGUGGUCAGACAUUGCUUGGAGCCUGUCUGGAAUGGAGAAGUAGGGCACCUCCUUCCCACCACCAGCCUGAGGAUUCACCUUAGGCAAGUGAUAGUACCCUCUAGCCUCCCUAUCUGGGCACUGAUAUACACACUUUUCCUGAUGAUUACAGUAUUAAUAUAACAUUGAAUGUUUAAUGCUCAACAUGCCCUUUGCGGAUGCAGUGCACUCAAGUGCGAAGACCUUAUAAGAUAAGUUCAUGUGGCUUGCUAUUUUCCAUUUUUACAUUUAUGCUAUGAUUUAAAUCCAUAUAAU
This is a long non-coding RNA of Xenia sp. Carnegie-2017, 586 nucleotides long. RefSeq lists it as uncharacterized. Lineage: Eukaryota; Metazoa; Cnidaria; Anthozoa; Malacalcyonacea; Xeniidae. The transcript has 3 exons. The record is from RefSeq and is a predicted model, not a curated record.